CUUCAGAAAAGUGAAUUUAUGAAAGUUAUCUGUCUCCAUCCCACAGUGUCACCAGGUUUCUAAGCCUGACAGAUGAAACCACCAACAUACAUGCUUGUGUAUUUAGUAACAGGUCGACACAGAUUCUCUCCUUGAAAACCACCAUCACCUCUCCAUCUGUAAGGGUGAGUAAGGUUUUAAUCUAACCUCUAAAUAAUCCCACAUACUGCAGCUUCAAAACAUUAAACUCACCAGAAAUACAAAAAUUCAGUCCAUAUUAGGGCUGGACGAAAAGGAUAAAAGUUUAUCACGAUAUUUUUUUUUCUUAUCAGUUGAUAUUGACAUGUAUCAUGAUUAAAAAAAAAAAUCACUUGUCAAUCUUAAAUGUUCCCUGAUACUUUUAAAUUAAAUUUAACAUGAACUCAACAUAAUUUUCAGUUCACAUUACUCUGCUUCAUGUCCAACCUCAAAAAAACAAAAUACCUCCACACCACCGACGUUUUCAUAACGCCAGUGUUGUCGACGAUGUGGUCAUCUGUUGAGCCUUCAUGGUCAUUUCUGUCGGGGGUAGCACUCAUUUUCUUUAUUUCUCACCAACAGUGCUGUCGGCUUCACCUGUUAAAGUGCUAUGGUUGGGUGGAGCUGCUGUCUGCUACGAUGCAGUUGUUUGAUACUUGGUUCUAAUUCAGCACAUGAUUGGUUCAGCGUGAAACGGACCUGUAUCAACUCCUCUUUUCAUUGGCUAUUCCUUUAGUCUACCAAAACGGUAGAAUGCUGACUAUCGAAAAGCAUAUUGACCAUGUUUUAUAUUGAUAUUAAUUAAUUUUUGAUAUAUAUUGUUAUCGAUUUAUCGCCCAGCCCUAGUCUGUACAUAGAAGAAACCAGCAUAUAUCUGAAUAACACUCAACACAUGUCAUUUGUGAUUCUGGGCAGCACCCUUUUAGCCUCUGUCAGCUCUUUAAGUUCAUAACUUUCCCAUCAAGCCCUCUGAUUUAUUGAUAAACUGAAGAAGUUUUUUUUUCACUGCUGGUCUUUCUUGCAUCUUUUAUUCAUUUAAAGCCAUGAUGGGUUUUCCAUGAUGCAACACUGAGGCAUCCUUUAGUCAGGAGUGUACUUUUUCUGAGCAGGAGCUGAGUCUUGUUGCUGGGGCGUUUGCUGCUGAUCUGACUGAAGUCAAUAACAAACUCUCAGGUCUAUUUCUAAUCAGCGAGUCAAAGACAAAGACCCGGGCGGAUGCAUUUAACGAGAUCAAAUGUGCAUCUGCUAUAAGAUGAAACACCAACUUUCUUCUCCGAUCUUCUGUUUUUUUAAGCCCAUUCCUCUCUUUGUGUCUUUGUCUCCAUCUUCCUCCUCCUCAUCCUCUCCCAGCAUCAUUAGCUUUGUGGCCUAGACGACCCCGUCUCCAGGCAACCGACGGGAGUGGUGAGGGCGUUGAAAGGAUUGCAGGUGAUUGCAGCAGCAGAGUCAGAAUCAGCAGCAGCAGAAGAGGCGGUGGGUUUUCCCCUGCACACACACACACACACACACACACACACAAACACGCACGCACGCACGCACGCACGCACGCACAGGGAUACACACAGGGCCUCCCUUUCUUUCGCCUGCAAGAGAAAGCUCGUAUUUACAUGUUAGUCAACGUUUUCUGCAGCAGCAGUGUCCUCAUUGAAAUGCAAAACCUUUUUUUCUAAUAUUUGACGAGAAAGCAACACAAAAAAAUGACUUAAGAGAACAAACAACAGACUUAUGCAAGCAGAAAUGACAUCUCCUGGGUCACAAUUAGCCGAUGAUGCAACCCACCAUCAGCUAUUGUGUCUGACAGCAGCUCACACAGACGGGCUGGAGUGAAACGCAAAAAAAGGGAAACAAAGCUUCUGUUUGUUCUGAUGCAGAGAUGAAAAUCCACCUGUUGUUUGCAGAUUAAAUUUGAUUGUGUUGUUUAGAAAUUCCCCUCUUGCGUGAUUACAAUUUUAAAAACAAAGUCAUUUAGUUUUAACAAAAGGCAGACGACGGGGGGGGAGACAAAAACUGAACAUGUCUCACUGUGUCUCAGCCUGCUGCUCUGAAUGAAAAUCAUCAAACCAGAAACAUUCAAAGCUCAGACCAACAGACGCUCCAACUGAGACGUACAAAUAAAUCUAAGUAAUACAAAGCAGCUGGUCUGCGGUUACCAUGGAAACAUGCAAAGUAGCUUAAGUGCAGGUGGAUGUUUGAUUUGCUCGGAGACUGUUGACAGUUUGAGCUGAGUAAUGGGACUAGUUAAGUUUACUGAUUCUGGUUUAUUGUAAGUCAGAGUUAGAAAACAGCAGUUAGACGGCUGGAAACAAACAGUACAACAAACAUCAAACAUUAUAUACAUCAGAUAUACGUCUGCAAAACAAAUAAAAUAAAAUAAAACCGUCAAAUCUUAAUCUUAAUGAUUGCAGAGUGAUGGGAACUCUUUGGGGCAUAAGGAAAUAAGAUUAAAUAAGAUAAGAUGUUCCUUUAAUAGUCCCACAGAGGAAAAUUCCACAUGACUCACUUCAAGAGAAGAAUGAAAACAACUGUUUCAUGACCUUCCCGAUCACUGUUAUUUAUGACACAGACAGUCUAAACAUCAUGUGACCGUCACAUACUUAUCUCCUCAUGAGGAUCAGGGUGUCUGACCAACACCCUGACAGUCUAAACUCAGAACACUGACUGAACACUGACUGCUCUGUGGUUUCUGUCAGAGGAGGAGUCGGGUGGGUGUAGUGUUACACUUGGAGACACACCUUUUCUUAUCCUCAUGACACAACAGACACUGAGAGAUUACGCAGACACACACAGAGAGGCGAGGGAAGGGUCAUAGAAAACCAGUUUAUAAAACCAGUUUAAGCUACGUGGUCGGGUUUGAGUUGAUUUUGAUGACCUCUGUUUACGAGUGAGACCAGGUACGUCUCACAGGAGCUUAUUGGAGUUCAGUCAAAGGAGUUUUUAGUUCCAAUAAGACAGACUGAAAUAAACACUGAUGCUCUUUUAGGACUCACAAAUUAAAUGGGACCAUGAGUGAUGAGACUGUUUUUCUUCUUAAUAGAGAUUAGUGGUGUAAAAAGUAAAAGCAGGGUGGUCGAUAAACUCCACAUUAUCUUUAGAUUCACUGAUGGAGAUGAAAAAGAAAUUUAUUGAUAUCCAAAGAAAAAUUUCAGGUCUAUUUUAGGGUUUGAAAAAUGUUAUGUGAGAUUUGUGUAAGUCAGAAACGUGACUUUUACACAUAAGUGCUUCUUUGUCCACAGGGGGCGCCAAAGUCAACAUGAUCUGAAAGUUACCCACAGGAGCUUUAAAUGGUGUUGUUCCUUUUAUUAUAGAAAAUUAAACAAAAGUAUAACUUUCCUAAGUGUCUCAAAAAUAUCUUAAUUGCAGCAGGAAAUAAAAAAGCAAAAAUUAGGUAAUUAAAUAAAAACACAAUGACAAUAAACUUCUCUGAAAACAUUUUUCCUUUUAAGGAGUGAAGCUAAAAGUGCUUAUAACACAUUACAGAUGUUUUUAUACUUGUAUUCUUACUACAUAACAAACUUUCAAUGAUUUUAAAAUAGUUUCUGAUUUUAAAAACAAAAGCACAUGUAAAAAAAGUCUUUUUUUUCCAACUUCAGCUGGAUUAAGUAAUGUAUAAAAAUUAAGACCUUUUUUUGUCAAUCUGGCCUUUAAAUUACUGCAUGAGUCCACGUUUUUCCGUUUUUUUCUAUUGUAAUUUUAUCAACCCUCAUAUUUUUUGUCCUAUAUUAUUUUUACUGAUUUUGGUUGAUAUGUUUAUUAGAUACUGUUGUUUUAUUGUUGUUAUUCUGUCGUCUUACAACAUUUAACUCACUGUUCAUGUCUUUCCUUGUUUCUGUCUGUUUUUAAAUUAUGCUGUGAAUCUCAAAUAAAGCAAUGAAACAUCAGAGAAAAACAAACUGAAAUAAAGUUAAUUAGUAAAUAUCAAAAACCGUCUUAAAGAGGCAGAAACACAGGAGUAAUAAACAGUGGUAUUAAGGAGUCAAAUAAACAGAAACAGGAUUAACAGGAGGGCGAAAAACAACACUGGGCUGUUUAUCUGUUUUUCAGAUUAGUUCAGUCUCUGGACUUUGGUCACCAUGACAACCACAUGCCUCUGUUUAUUGUCACAUAGUCGGCGCUUCCUUUCUGACCAUAUAUGGACAAUCAGUGUCAGCGUUACCUCAGACAACAACUAUGUAACUCUGCUGCCCUCAUGUGGCAGAACUGAGAAGUGCAGGAGAUUUAAUGGAUCUGUGAUUCAUGAUAAAUCCUGGAUACUGAGAUGUGGAGGCAGUUAAAGAGGUGAGGUCUCAGAUAUGACUGUACAACUAAAACUGGAGAUCCUCUCUUCUUUUCUGUCGAUGCAACAGAAACAGAAAAAGAAACAUGUCCAGAUAAGUCCCAGAAUAUCAGAUAAACAAGGGAAAUUAUACUGUAAUCCAAUCAUCUAAUCGGCUUUAGAGGGAUCCCCCGCUCUGAUCCUGAUGGAUCAGCUCCUGACUGAAUAUCAGCAGGGGUCAGAUCAGUCAGGAUUUCUGAGAUUAUGAUGAUAAAAAACCUGAAAAUCAAGAUCCUGGUGUUCCUGGGUGGUGUGGGAGGAAUGAUAGGUAAAUAAGAAGAUCCCCUUCUCUUUUGUAGAAGUUUGUUUUUCUUUUUAAUCUUUCUUAUUCUUUCUUUUUAGGAGUUAUUUCUCUAAAAGUACCCUCUACCUUUCUCUCAAUAAGUUUGAUUUUAAGAGACUAAACUGUCUCUCGGUUAUCUACUUUGAGGUGAAACCUGAACUCAGAGGACUUCAGCACUGCCAGCCCCGCUGAAAAGUUCCUCCACCUUUGUAAAGUGUACCUGCAGAACAGGGUCAAAUGAAGCUUUCAGACCUAAUUUAGAUCCUGGUCCCUGAGGUUCCUUUAACAGUCCCUCAGACCUGGAAAAACACCUUUGAUUGUGAGGUAUUUGGGAGUUUAUGGAGUGAGGUUGCUCGAGUGUUUCAUCACACGGAUGACAUUUCUCAGCCCAGAGAGGAAUCUGUGACGGUCAGGUGAAAUUAGAGGAGGUUUCAAAGUGACAUCAGAGUUAUUUCUCCUCUAUGUCAGUCUCUGCAGAUAAAGUACAAUCCUCACAGAGGCGAUAACAGCGAGGGGGGGCUGGCAGCUCUUUUGUGAUGAGCUCAGCAGUUUUAUAAAGACUUCACGAGUCAGCAAACAUCUGUGGACACAUUAAUUACAAAAGUUUUCCACAAUGAACAAGAAAUAAAGUCUCAUUUAUUUACCAUCAUUAAAUUAAAGUGUGGAACUGUGAAAUAAAGCUGAUGUGCCAAAACCUGCAGUUCUCCUGGUGUCCACUGGGGGCAGACUCUAACGGAGAGUGAAGUCAGGCUUUAGGCUUUAGGCUGGAUUACACCGAGUCCUGAUUGUUAAAAAUGAAAAAUAAAAAGUCUUAACUGAAAGAACAAAAAUUAAAUGGAAAAAAAGCAGUUUUAACUCAAAUCAAAGUAAUUUAAAGUGACUAAAAACAAGAAAGCACAAAAAAGAAAAAUAAAUCUAAAACGGGAAAAUUUAUUAAUAAAGAACAGGAAAAGCAAAGACUGACGCUCACUAACAGCAAUAAAAUAAAAUGUAAUCACAACAAUAAAACAGAAGAGAUAAGAAAGUUAAUGUUAAAUAAAAAGAUAAAGAUCAGUAAUUAAACAUAAAUAAAAGCAACAAAAUAAAAUGACAGCUGUGAAAGAUGAUAAAAAAUAACAUUAAAACUUGCUCUUAAAGUUUUUUAGGUGAAGAAACAGAAGAACAAAAUGAUCACAUGACUUUAUCUAUUUCUUAGUUUUAUGGUCCAAAAUGGAAAAAACGUGGAAACUAGAAUUAAAUUAGAAAAGAUAAAAGAAGAAAACAAAAGACCAAAAAUUCUCUGAGUUUGGUUCAUCGAUUUAGACUGUAAAAUGUUGUUUUUCUGUUUCUGGUUUUGAACCAAAAAAAUAAAUGAGUGAUCGGUUUCUUGAUCACAGUUUAAAGUCCAAUUAUCCAAUAGUAUCCUGAUUGUUUUAUUAAUGCUUUUGCCUUUUAGUUCUUUUUCAAUAUAAAUUUAUGUUCUCAUGUUCUUAUGUUUAAAAUUGAGACUGUGACAGAUCGCUUAUAUUGUUUAUCUUGUUUCUAAAAUACCUGAUCCUGUUUUUUUGUCCAGAGUAGAACAGCUGCAUUUUAAUUUCGUGCCGAAAAAAAAAAGUGCAUUUUUAUUAACAUUUUAUCAGAUUUCACACAAUAUCAGUGAUAUAAAGUGGAAAAACAUCCAUCUAUCUUUGCUGAAAAACUACUUCUUAGUUCCAGCAGAGGGCGACAGAGUCAUGCAGAAAAUAUCUCAGAUUUGACAUAAAAAUAACAUUAAAAAAAUCAAAUACAAAUCUAAAUUUGUUGAGAUUUUCAGCAGCCUUUGACCAAAACCUAAAACCUUUAUCAGUGAAUGAGAGCUGCACACCAUUAUCAUGUGAUAUUUGUUGUUUUCAGUCUCAACGUAAAGAAUGAAUGCUCUCUCUCUCUCUUUCUCUCCCUUUAGUAUCGUACUAAAGUAUAAUUUACAAGUAUUCCUAGUACUUCUCUGUGUACUUGAUGUCAUUUAGUUUAAAUAAUUGAUGAAGAAUCCACACAGGCGGUGAUUGUAGAGGCAGAGAGACUCCAUCAGACCCUCAGGCUGUUACACGAGUUACAAUCUCUGCAUUCAUUAUUAACUCCACAUUUAUGUACAACAGAAGCAGAAACAUGUACAGCUGAUCUGUCUGAGCACAUCUCCUUCAUCUGAGAGACUAUUACAGCUUUAUUACACACCUGAGGAUCUGCUGCUCUGCUGACAGAUGUUGAUGCAUUCUAGAUGAGAGCAGAAACCCUCCGACUCCUCAGCGAAGCUCUCAGAUACCCAUUUAGAGGAGAGAGAGGAGGAAGGAGAGGAAGCGUCAGAUAAAGAAAAAGACCCUGUAUCUGUGAGUCUGUAUGUUUACUGAAGGAUUGAAGCCAAACUGAGACUUUGUGGUUCCCGUUAAACAAAGACAGGUUGGAUUAGACGUUAAUUCCCUCAGUUUUCCUUUAACAUGAUGAAACACGGUCCUCAAAUGAAAGAUUUAUUUCACAAACUCUGUUCCCUUCAGUGUUUGGUUUGUAAGAAUUUGUGUAAUUGUCGAACAGUCUUAGUUUUGGUGUUUGAGACUGGAACAUUAAGGCCUGUUUUUACCUCAGCGCUCAAAGGAUCUAAAGAAACAUGUCUCUAACGCUGCACAAAGCUGUUCGCCGUUUGUGUGUUUUCUUUCAUUCGGCUGAUGUCUCUUUCACUCAGCUCUUCGUGUGUUUUAGUGUUUUAGUGUGGUUUUAAUCCUCUUGACUUUUUCUGUGCUAGUUUUCGACCAAUCUCAAGUAAAAAUGUCAAGUAUGCUGCCAACAAAUAAUACUGAAAACUAACUCUGUCAACAGGAACAGGUGAAAUCAUGAAUAUUAGUUAUGAGCGAAUAGAUCUGAUAUGACAGAUAAUAAAGCUUUACGAUGUCAAUUUUGCUCCUCAGACUUUAAUUUCAUCCAUUUAACCUUUUUAAACACAUGCUUAUUAAAGCUCCUGUGAGGAACUUUUGAUUUCUGUCUAUAUGGCGCCCCCUGUGGACUACAUGGUCUUUACUUAUAAAACUAUUGAUCUCAUCAGCAGUGAUCUUGUUGGUUUUUGUUAAUCACAGAAAAGAAAACAAAGAUUUAAUAUCACAAACAUCAAGACUUCACAGGAGCUUUAAGUUUGUGUUGAUUUUGGCGCCCCCUGUGGACAAAGUGAAACUUCUUUUUUCUCGUGUUUCCUAUCAAAAAAUCUUACCCUGCAUUAUUUUACAGCAGUAUUUUUCACUCACUGUAGAUAUCUGCUAUGGAAAAUGUCAAUGUAGUUUUAUUAAAUAUAACAAAUACAGAAAUAAUCAAAGGUGGUGCUCUUGCCGACUUUUCCAGGUGGUAAAGAAGCAUCAGUGUUAAUCUGAGUCUGUCUCCUAACAGGAGCUUUGAUCCUGGCUCACAUUCGAGGUUGUUGUUCUGGUCUGUUCUGCUCUGGCUCCUGCUGUUGGUGUUUGGUUUAAAAAAACGAACAAAGAUGGUGCCAGUUUAUGUCUGAGGGGCCCUUGAGCACGGCAGCUUGGAGCCCCUUAUCUGAGUGCAGCCCACUAACUCCUCUUCAACUGUGCAUGUCCAUGUAGGAACCUGUCUGUGCAUCAGCAAAGUGAAACUUCUAUGAUUUGAUUGAAUCUUCCAAAACUGUGCAAAAUCCAGUGGGUUGGAUUUAGUGCCAUCUAGAGGUGUGAUUCCAUAUUGCAGCUACUUGCUUGUAUGCACCUCCAUUACUUACUAACCGUGCAUGCUGCAGUUGAAUAAGUGAAAACAAACCAUCCUCUUAAAAAUCCAGUUAGUCUUUAGUUAUACUGUGAAAGAAACUUUGAAGAUCUACCUCUUUGCUGCAGCUAAACUGGACUUUUUUUCUGAAAUGCAUCUAAAUUAAAAGACAGAAUUAGGGAAACAUCCGUCCUGAGCCAAAUAAGAGAAUCAAAAAAACACUUGUGACGUGAAAGUUUGCGUAAAACUUCUGUCAUUGUUUCCUUAAGUGCAGUUCAGAGUAAGAGAACGUCUCUGCAGAGGGUCCAAAGCUGAACAAACACCACUCCUUCUCCUGUAGGUCAGGAUGUUUGAACCAUCUUCUGUUUCUUAAGAAACAUUUAUUUGCUCUGCGGCAGGUUGAAGGCCAAAAACCCUGUCCAUAACUCAGAAAACCGGCCAUGAUAUCCAGCUAAACUUGCGUCCGUUGGUAGUUGGAGUGCAGAAAAGAGGCCCUGCAGUGUUUGCAGUGGGAGGAGGGGGCUCCUGAAUCCUGUUCUUCAUCUCUGUGUUUGUGUAUUUGCUUUCUCUUUGUUUUCUCUGGUGUCUUUCAGCAGAUCCAUUCAGACUCACAGCUAAAGAUGCUAGAUGUCCCUCUGGUUGUUAACAGCGCUCUGCUCUGUAACACGUUAUCCCUCUGCAGUUAAAUAAUGCAGAACGAGACUCCUCAUUUCUUGUGUUUGUACAUUUCCAUCCGAGCGAGAGCGCCGUGUUCGCCUCGGUCCUGAACCUGUGGGGACUGAACUGCUGUCUCCGGGAGGAAGACAAAGUUACAGAGUGAAUACAGAAAGACACGGACAAACAUGGCCGACAGUGUCCGCCACAGAGAAAUCAAAGUGUCAGCGUUAUGGAAGGUGCAGUGAAACGUGUUAAAGGAUAAACAGAGGAAGGAAAUUAAACAAAAGUGAAAAAUCUCUAAUCCAGGAAAUGAAGUCAUCGAGUUAGUGAGUGAGUGUGCUUUUAUUGUGUGUGUCUGUGUGUGUGUGUUUUGGCACAGUGGGGACAGUGUGCUGUUACACAAGGAAAGAAAAUAAGAUUGCAGGAAAAGAGAGAGGGAUGGUGCUGUGCAGGAUCCAGGACUCCUGUCUUUCUGCUCCAUGAGAACGACCUGAUAAAGAGAAAUAUGUUGACAGAUGUAAACGACAUGAGACAGUAGGAAAUGAUGUGAUGGGAUAGGAACUAAUACAGUCCAACACAAUAGGGUACACUACAGUAUGAUGGAGGAGUAACAGUUUACAAUAAGAAAUCAUAAAAAAUGUUCCAUCAUCAUCAUCGUCCACUAUGAAAUUAAAUGUGCUUUAAGACUUUAUAGGACAUGAGAAGAUAAUAAGAUACAAUACAAAUGAUGAUGGUACAAUUUAAAACACUAUGAUGGUCCAUAACAUGAAACUCUCAGAUGUGUAGCAACAUGAUACUAUAAGAUAAAACAGGAAAUGAUUAACUUCAUUAUGGUAUAAUUUAAUUGGUUAGAAUGAUGAUAAAAUAUGAGAUGAUACAAAAUGAUACAUAACAAAACAAUACAGGAUAAUACCAAGCGACACGAUACGGUACAAUUAAAUAGAAUAAAGUACAAGCAAGAUACAUCAAAUACAAUAACAUGUGAUAUGAUACAUUACAUAAUGAUACAAUGUGUUACAAUCUGGAACAACAAUUCAAUAUAAUACAAUAAGAUAUGACAGGGUAAGAUAUGAUAUGAUACAAUAUAUCAUCUGAUAAGAUAAGAUACAAUAAGAUAUGAUAGGAUACAAUAUGAUACGACAAGAUUUGAAGUUUUUUUUUUGGUAUGAUAUGAUAUGAAAUUAUAUGAUAUGAUGCGAUAGUACGUUAUGAUACGAUAUGAUAUGGCAUGUUAUGAUGUGAUACGAUAAGAUUUAAUAUGAUACAAUAUGACAAGAUAAAAUAAGAUAAUAUGUGAUAUGAUAAGAUAAAAUUCCAUAUAAAACUCUUCCUAGACAAAUCAGCAGCAUGUGUGCAGGUUCAGUGUCAGGACAGCAGAAUCACACACACACACACACACACACACACACACACACACACACACACACACACACACACACACACACACACACACACACACACACACACACACUAUUACUCCUGUUGAUAUUUGUCUGUGGAAAUCUUCAUUGUCCUCUUUAUCUGCAGAAAUUGGAGAAAAGUCCUCUGGGAUUUCAGCGGUGAGGCUUUGUGUGCAGACCUCCACCUCCACCUUCUUCUUCUUCUUCAUCCUCCUCUCCUCCUCCCUCCUCUGCCUCGUCAGGAGUUUCUUUGUUGGGGUUGAGGUCCCUCCAAACUGAAAGCAAACAAAGGAGGAGAUAAAAAUCAAACUCAUGCACAUAAAAGUCGCCAGAUGUGAAAAAUAUGCUCCGAGUGUUUUUGGAUAAAUGGUCAGAUUAGGUCUGAUGGAAAGACUGUUGGAAAGUCUGGCUGCUGGAAACUGAAGUGAUGAGACUGUUCUUUCUAAAUGACUGUUUUUCUGAGGAAAUUCCUGCAGACUGUGGACUUAACAACAACUUCCCGGUGUGGAUUUCAAAAUAAUAGGUGUGCACGGACAGGGUGUCAGGAUGUUGUCACAAGCAUGCCGCCGCACGCCUCCUAAAUAUGUGGAGCCGCUUUGGGAAACGAAAUUCCAAUGAGCUCCGAGUUCCUGCAGAGUGACUCAGAACAAACAGCGUCUGACAGCUGACUGAAGCUCUUUCAUGAGCGGCCGACGAAAAUCAACAAUAACACGUUUGCUGCAUGUAAAUAAAAGAGCCUGACCGACAUACCAGCAGGAGAACGUUUCCUGUUCAAACAAGCUCAUCACAGACGUAUGAUGGUGAGUGUGUAUCCUGGUGGAUUCAUGAAUAUUUCUGUAAGUUUAACAAUUAAAAAAGUAAUAUUAAUUGGCUUAAAACUGCAAAAAAGUGAGGAUUUCAUGGGUUAAUUCUGCACAAAGGGGAACUACGAUGUGAUUGGGCAUUAUUGCACUCAAAAACAAAUGUGGCUUCAUAGUGGAAGUCGCCGCAUUGGCCUGAAAUCACUUCCAGUUGGUCUAUAAAAUAUGAGCCUUAAUAUAGAAAAACAUGAUUAAGAAGAAAUACCAAUCAUCUCUUCUUUGUUUCAGUCUUUUUGGAAAUCAUGGACACAGUUCAAAAGUCAGCAUCCCUGACUGUAUUGGGAUGCAUAAGUGUUCAUAACAUGGCUGAAUAAUAUACGCUGGUUUUGGCUGACGUAUUUCUUCACAGGCACACUUUUAGUCAUACGUGAAGUUUCUGAUAACAACUCGAUGGAGAAUAAAUCCCUCAGGAGUUGGAGCUGUUCUGUGAAACUAAAUCUGCUUUUAAAGUUGGGUAAGUUAAUCCUCAUAAAAGACCUUUUGUCCUUGUUUUCUCCUAAUAAAGAUCAGGACAAAAUGGACUCGUGAAAGUUUCCAUGUUUCACCUGCUCAAAUUAUUUUAAAGAAGCAUUUUUAUUUUCUUUUUAGGCUUUAACAGGAAACAUAAGAUAAGGUAAAAGACAAAAAAAAAAAACACCAUUACCACACUCAUCGACCACUGAUGCUUUCUGAGGAAGUGUUAGGAAGCUCGAAGACAACAGCUGCUGUUCUGGGAAAGCGUUUAGACUGAGCUUAAAACGCAGAAAAAUUAGACCUCCCUUUAUUCCCUUUCUGGAUUAGAAAUAGACUGUUGUAAACCUGUGUCACCUUUUAGAUCCACUUCAGUCUGGAGCUGAGGCGGGCUGAAUGAAACAUGAUUCACCCUGAUAAAACUCUUAAAACUCUUCACCCUGAUAUGAGUCGUGAAUUUAAUUUAUCCCUUGGAAAGUUUUGGUGAAUAAAUAAAAAAGCAUCCAAGAUUAAAACAGUUUGUUCAAGUUUUAAUCAUAUUAUUCUGUCUUUAUAUAUUGUCUCAUGGUGCCUUAUGGGGUUUGAGAGCAUUUGGAACAUGCCUCUAGUGGACACUCGAGGAACUGUAGUUUUAUUAUGCUUCUAUAUUAGUGUUAAUUUCCAACU
RNAcentral lists this long non-coding RNA (12339 nucleotides) under Xyrichtys novacula (pearly razorfish). The record is from RNAcentral. Lineage: Eukaryota; Metazoa; Chordata; Actinopteri; Labriformes; Labridae.